This 558-nucleotide ribosomal RNA is filed under the name Zenodorus darleyorum. RNAcentral describes it as "partial 16S ribosomal RNA". The stretch from base 170 to 463 matches the Rfam family "Bacterial large subunit ribosomal RNA", at positions 2074 to 2646 of the family's 2925-position model. The record is from RNAcentral. Lineage: Eukaryota; Metazoa; Arthropoda; Arachnida; Araneae; Salticidae.
UUAAUAGUAAAAUCUGCUCAAUGAAAAAUUAAAUAGCCGCAAUUUGUGCUAAGGUAGCAUAAUCAUUUGUCUUUUAAAUAAAGACUAGAACAAAAGAUUUAACAUUUAAAACUAUAUAUAAUUUUAAAAAAUUAAAAUUUCAUUUAAUGUAAAAAUGCUUUAAUUUAAAAGAAAGACGACAAGACCCUAUUGAAUUUAACUUUAGUUAAACUGGGGUAGUAAGUUAAUUAUCACUUUAAUUUUUAAAAAAACAAAAACAUCCAACAUAUUGAUAUAAUAAAUUACCAUAGGGAUAACAGCGCAAUUAUAUUUCAAAGUCCUUAUUAAAAAUAUAGAUUACGACCUCGAUGUUGAAUUAAUAACCUAAAUUAAGCAAAUUUAAAAAAAGGAAGUCUGUUCGACUUUUAAAAAAUUACAUGAUUUGAGUUCAGACCGGUGUAAGCCAGGUCGGUUUCCAUCUUCUUUAAAAAUUUUUACAGUACGAAAGGACCUAAUAAUUUAAUUUUAUUAAUAAAUUGGCAGAUAAAUGCAUUAGAAUUAGAAUCUAAAUAAUCUAAA